Molecule: ribosomal RNA, 301 nt
Filed under: uncultured bacterium
Lineage: Bacteria
Description: partial 16S ribosomal RNA
Rfam family: Bacterial small subunit ribosomal RNA
Source: RNAcentral
CAGUAGCCGCGGUAAUACAGAGGGUGCGAGCGUUAAUCGGAUUUACUGGGCGUAAAGCGUGCGUAGGCGGCUUUUUAAGUCGGAUGUGAAAUCCCUGAGCUUAACUUAGGAAUUGCAUUCGAUACUGGGAAGCUAGAGUAUGGGAGAGGAUGGUAGAAUUCCAGGUGUAGCGGUGAAAUGCGUAGAGAUCUGGAGGAAUACCGAUGGCGAAGGCAGCCAUCUGGCCUAAUACUGACGCUGAGGUACGAAAGCAUGGGGAGCAAACAGGAUUAGAUACCCCCGUAGCCCUGUCUCUUAUAAA